AGAAGCUUAAGUUAUACAUAAACUAGCGACCUUCAAAGCCGCCAAAAAAUCCUGCUUUAGCUUCUGCCUA
This 70-nucleotide transfer RNA is filed under the name Lichanura trivirgata (rosy boa). Its description in RNAcentral is "tRNA-Trp". The record is from RNAcentral. Lineage: Eukaryota; Metazoa; Chordata; Lepidosauria; Squamata; Ungaliophiidae.